UACGUAGGGUGCGAGCGUUAAUCGGAAUUACUGGGCGUAAAGCGUGCGCAGGCGGUUCGUUAAGUCAGAUGUGAAAGCCCCGGGCUCAACCUGGGAACUGCAUUUGAAACUGGCGGGCUUGAGUGUGGCAGAGGGGGGUGGAAUUCCGCGUGUAGCAGUGAAACGCGUAGAGAUGCGGAGGAACACCGAUGGCGAAGGCAGCCCCCUGGGCCAACACUGACGCUCAGGCACGAAAGCGUGGGGAGCAAACAGG
This 253-nucleotide ribosomal RNA is filed under the name uncultured bacterium. RNAcentral describes it as "partial 16S ribosomal RNA". It matches the Rfam family "Bacterial small subunit ribosomal RNA", at positions 524 to 776 of the family's 1533-position model. The record is from RNAcentral.